CCCUUAGAUGUUCGGGGCCGCACGCGCGCUACACUGUAGGAAUCAGCACGUCUUUCUCCUUGUCCGAAAGGACUGGGUAACCCGCUGAACCUCCUUCGUGCUAGGGAUUGGGGCUUGUAAUUCUUCCCCAUGAACGAGGAAUUCCCAGUAAGCGCGAGUCAUAAGCUCGCGUUGAUUACGUCCCUGCCCUUUGUACACACCGCCCGUCGCUACUACCGAUUGGAUGGUUUAGUGAGAUCCUCGGAUUGGUCCCGGAGCGGCCUCUGGUCGUGCCGGAGUGCCGAAAAGAAUGUCGAACUUGAUCAUCUAGAGGAAGUAAAAGUCGUAACA
RNAcentral lists this ribosomal RNA (330 nucleotides) under uncultured eukaryote. RNAcentral's name for it is "partial 18S ribosomal RNA". It matches the Rfam family "Eukaryotic small subunit ribosomal RNA", at positions 1470 to 1796 of the family's 1831-position model. The record is from RNAcentral.